AUACCGUGAAACUGCGAAUGGCUCAUUAAAUCAGUUAUCGUUUAUUUGAUAGUACCUUACCACUUGGAUAACCGUGGUAAUUCUAGAGCUAAUACAUGCUAAAAACCCCGACUUCGGAAGGGGUGUGUUUAUUAGAUAAAAAACCAAUGCCCUUCGGGGCUCUUUGGUGAUUCAUGAUAACCUAACGGAUCGCAUGGCCUUGCGCCGGCGACGGUUCAUUCAAAUUUCUGCCCUAUCAACUUUCGAUGGUAAGGUAUUGGCUUACCAUGGUUUCAACGGGUAACGGGGAAUUAGGGUUCGAUUCCGGAGAGGGAGCCUGAGAAACGGCUACCACAUCCAAGGAAGGCAGCAGGCGCGCAAAUUACCCAAUCCCGACACGGGGAGGUAGUGACAAUAAAUACUGAUACAGGGCUCUUUUGGGUCUUGUAAUUGGAAUGAGUACAAUUUAAACCCCUUAACGAGGAACAAUUGGAGGGCAAGUCUGGUGCCAGCAGCCGCGGUAAUUCCAGCUCCAAUAGCGUAUAUUAAAGUUGUUGCAGUUAAAAAGCUCGUAGUUGAAACUUGGGUCUGGCUAGCGGGUCCGCCUCACCGCGUGCACUUGUCCGGCUGGACCUUUCCUUCUGGAGAACCUCAUGCCCUUCACUGGGUGUGUUGGGGAACCAGGACUUUUACUUUGAAAAAAUUAGAGUGUUCAAAGCAGGCCUUUGCUCGAAUACGUUAGCAUGGAAUAAUAGAAUAGGACGUGCGGUCCUAUUUUGUUGGUUUCUAGGAUCGCCGUAAUGAUUAAUAGGGAUAGUCGGGGGCAUCAGUAUUCAAUUGUCAGAGGUGAAAUUCUUGGAUUUAUUGAAGACUAACUACUGCGAAAGCAUUUGCCAAGGAUGUUUUCAUUAAUCAGUGAACGAAAGUUAGGGGAUCGAAGACGAUCAGAUACCGUCGUAGUCUUAACCGUAAACUAUGCCGACUAGGGAUCGGGCGAUGUUUCUAUCUUGACUCGCUCGGCACCUUACGAGAAAUCAA
RNAcentral lists this ribosomal RNA (1017 nucleotides) under Mycodidymella aesculi. RNAcentral's name for it is "SSU rRNA". It matches the Rfam family "Eukaryotic small subunit ribosomal RNA", at positions 76 to 1101 of the family's 1831-position model. Lineage: Eukaryota; Fungi; Ascomycota; Dothideomycetes; Pleosporales; Phaeosphaeriaceae. RNAcentral also lists the same sequence under 1 other name. The record is from RNAcentral.